RNAcentral lists this ribosomal RNA (421 nucleotides) under uncultured bacterium. Its description in RNAcentral is "partial 16S ribosomal RNA". It matches the Rfam family "Bacterial small subunit ribosomal RNA", at positions 361 to 774 of the family's 1533-position model. The record is from RNAcentral.
AUAUUGGGCAAUGGGGGCAACCCUGAUCCAGCCCUUCCGCGUGUGUGAAGAAGGUCUUCGGAUUGUAAAGCUCUUUAAGUUGGGAGGAAGGGCUUUAGGCUAUUACCUGGAAGUUUUGACGUUACCAACAGAAUAAGCACCGCCAAACCUUGUUCCAGCAGCCGCUGUAUUACAGAGGGUGCAAGCGUUAAUCGGAAUUACUGGGCGUAAAGCGCGCGUAGGUGGUUCAGUAAGAUGGGUGUGAAAACCCCGGGCUUAACCUGGGAACUGCUUUCAUAACUGCUGAGCUAGAGUACGGUAGAGGGUAGUGGAAUUUCCUGUGUAGCGGUGAAAUGCGUAGAUAUAGGAAGGAACACCAGUGGCGAAGGCGACCACCUGGGCUAAUACUGACACUGAGGUGCGAAAGCGUGGGGAGCAAACA